UACGUAGGGACCGAGCGUUGUCCGGAAUCAUUGGGCGUAAAGCGCGUGUAGGCGGCUUGGUAGGUUUCGUGUUAAAUCCCUCGGCUCAACUGAGGAACUGCCUUUGAAACUGGACGGCUUGAGGCCGGGAGAGGGUAGCGGAAUUCCCAGUGUAGCGGUGAAAUGCGUAGAUACUGGGAGGAACACCGGUGGCGAAGGCGGCCACCUGGACCGGUUCUGACGCUGAGGCGCGAAAGCGUGGGUAGCAAACAGG
RNAcentral lists this ribosomal RNA (253 nucleotides) under uncultured bacterium. Its description in RNAcentral is "partial 16S ribosomal RNA". It matches the Rfam family "Bacterial small subunit ribosomal RNA", at positions 524 to 776 of the family's 1533-position model. The record is from RNAcentral.